RNAcentral lists this non-coding RNA (189 nucleotides) under Gammaproteobacteria bacterium. Its description in RNAcentral is "6S RNA". It matches the Rfam family "6S / SsrS RNA". Rfam says of the family: E. coli 6S RNA was the first non coding RNA to be sequenced, but its function was unknown until recently. It consists of 184 nucleotides that fold into an extended hairpin structure with a large single-stranded internal bulge. The 6S RNA specifically associates with RNA polymerase holoenzyme containing the sigma70 specificity factor. Lineage: Bacteria; Pseudomonadati; Pseudomonadota; Gammaproteobacteria. The record is from RNAcentral.
CAUCUCCUGCUGUGUUCGCCAGAAUCCGGGUACACCCUUGAGCCUUAAAUUAACUACCCGGGGCGCUAAUAUCGCGAUGCGGUGUGCAAGUCCGCCGUAUGUAGCGGAAAGCCUGAUGUAUCGUUGCAGUUCCCCCCUUGAGCCUAACGGUUCGAGGACGAUGGAUUCAGCGGCACGAGCGGGAGAUGC